AUGUUUUUUGCUCCUAAAGAAUACGACCUAACCCUGAAACCGAAACCCAUCCGACGACUCAGCUACCGUAGACAGAAAAGAAAUAACAGUAGCCAUUCGGUACAGCCACAUUUUCAGGAUCUGGCAGCAUACCCACACCGUCAAAACUGGCAAAACACCGACCUUGCAAGGGAAACAGCUGCCUUUCCAGCUCCCCUUUGUCCAGUCGCUGGCACCUCCUCGCCUAACUUCUCCCGGCUCUACUUCCAGGUGGCCAAAACCCGAGAGACGCGAAAACGGACACAGGUGGGUGUGGCGGUUGAGCAGAGCACUGGCGAGAGACUGACUGGCGGCCUCCGUCCCCGCCACACCAGAGGAGCAAGAGAAAAGGCACUUACUUGCCACCGUGUUCGCCGAUCAUGCCCACCCAGUGUGCCCGCAGAGUCUGGCCCCGGGGAGGGCGCGGGCUUCAGGGACCCUUCCUCUCCUCCGGCGUCCUGUCCACUGCUGCCGCUGCCUCUUUCUCUGAGCUCCUGUUGCUCGGCCGGCGCCUGCCACUACCCGCCGCUGGCACCCAAGCUAGCCCAACCCCAAUUCCGGAGCCCGCGGAAUUGGAAACCAGACACUCGCCUGGUGAACGCGGGCGAGGGCCAGCCGGGCCACUGCGCCCCUCCUUCCCGGGCGCGCCCAGAAAGGCGGCGGCCCCGCCCCGGCUCUCCGGCCCCUCCUCGCUCCCCGCCCUUGCCCCACCCUAGCUCCGCGCAGCCCUCCACUCCUGCUGGGGGCGCUGGGCGGGGACCUAGCCCCGACCUCCGGGUUGGAGAUGCCACAGGCUCUCCAUUGUGCUCCAGAAGAGAGCAGAGGAGGGGAUCGCUAGACUGCGCACCCUCACCUACCCCAUUGGAUGGGGCGUUAGUAUGUGAAUGUGUGCGUGUGUGUGUGUGUGUGUGUGUUCCUCCAGCUGCCAGAAGAGUCCUUCCCUUAUUUCACUCCGCCCCCAUCACCCUUUCCACUCUUCCUGCUUUGCUGAAUCGGCUAACGUUUCCGAGAAGCCACUUGACGCGGAGCGAGAGAAAGAACCACGGGCAGAGGAGAUCGAUCAGGCUACCGAGACUUCCAGGCAAGCAAAGAAUGCAUUUCCUUUCAAAGGUGGAGUGAGGAGCUCAGGUCUCCCUGGGUGGAGAGGGAGACUUGACGCAGAGGUUGCCUUUCCCCCACCUGGGACCCGCUCAUCUGGAUAGGCCAUCAGUCAUAUAGGUUCUGACUUUCGGAGCUGGAUAGGAGCGAUUGUGAAAAGAAAUCUUUAUAAAUCACUGUGUGCGGUUGCAUGUGUGUGCGCGCGCGUUUUCUACAACAGCCUGUUGGGAGGAAGAAUGAUGCAAACAAAAUCGAAUUAUCUUUCUCAAAGAGAAACGGGAAAUUUCCACCAAGGAGGAAAAUGGAAGGAUUUAUGACGUUGUGGCAAAGUGGAUCCCGGCCUUAAAAAAGAGAUAGAUCACCUUGCUAUAUAAAUAUGAAUGAUGGGCGUUUGCAGCUUUAGUGUAAUUUACUUCCAUACCUUCUAAUAUGGAGAUGAUAACCUAGUGGUAAACACACAGAAUUUCAAGCCCCAGGAUUAACUUUUCUGGGCGGCUUACUGAGCUUCUGAGAUUUGCCCUUUGGACCUUAGCUGUCAAGUUUCUGAGGCUCUCAGCUGAAGAGUACACUCGGUCACUUGGGGCUAAUUCUCAAUGCCACUUCGUGACCAAGUCACUUUCUCUUCCUUCAUUAUUUGAAGAUAGAGGAAAAAGAAUUAACUGUAGUAGGAGUGACAGCCUUUUUGACUAGAUGCGGUAAAGUCACUGUCUUUUCUUACCACCUUGAAGUCCCCCUUCAACUAAAUUGUCUGAUGCACUGCUAUGUAAAAUUAGCUCAACCAACCAUUUCUCUAUAGUUCCCUGACACCUAAUCUGGGUUUCAUUAGGGAAUAAUCCAUAUGAUAUUCAGAAUAAUUAGAACCCAGAGACUUUCAACCUCAUGUUAUUUUUUUCCUCAAGAAGAUGUAAAUUACAACAUAAAGACUCUAGCUGAUUAAGACAAAGAAAUAAUGAUCAAUGCCUAUGAGAUGAUUAAAUUUAUUAAUAUGAUUAAGAGGAAUUUUGAUCAAAUUCUGUAACACUCAAAGCCUUAAAGAAGCAAUCAAGAACAAAUCAAAGUACCAUGCUAUAAAGUAUAGAAUGUGUUUAUUAGAUUUGUAUUUCCUAGAGGUGAUGUAAAAUCAAGACAGGGACAAGAUGAACUGAUAAAUGAUGGCACCAUAUAGGAAAUCAGAGUCACUUUUGGUGGUUAAUGUCAGAUAACACUGUCCAGAAAACAUCUCUUGGGAUAGUGAUGAGGUACUAGGCUGGGUGAUCCACUGGUUUGAUGAAGUGUAGCUGUUUUUCUUCAUGGCAAAAAAACGUUCUCCCCACCUGUGUGGUAGGAAAGGGAUUUAGUAUCUCCAUCCCCCUGCCACUAAGAAAAUAAUAUACACCAUGCUUUGAUAAUGAGUGUAUACCACGCUUUGCCACUGUAGGAGUCCCUUCACUAUACCUGUGUUCUCAUUGGGAGUCUUAAAAAUAAAACUUCCUUGAUUUGUAUGAGGGGUCCCUGGUGAGAUUUUGCCUGUGAAUUUAUUUGCAAAGUAUGGUGUGUAUUAUUCAUUCUUUUUCUAAUUCUGUUUCAUCUCCCAACUAUUUAGUUACCAUCCAUCUAUUUAGUUCAUGUACCAUUUUCAGUCUCACAAGCUUUUUGUAAUCUCUGCCUUUAGUCCAUGCUGCUUGUGUUUUUAUUGCUCUUCUGGCAGUGCUGGGAUUAUUUAUUAUAUUUUUGUCUCUGUCUAAAUUCAGAAAAAAGAUCAUCUGAGUCUCCUAUUCAGUAUUACAUUAAAUGCCCCUAAGAAUUCACCAAGUACCCAGUGAUGGUGUUAUAUAUAGAUAUAACUAGAUAAUGCCAUUGAAAAGUUUAAAAGGUAGUCUUGAAUUACAGGAGGCAGAGAAGAACCUGGUUGAACCAGCCAACAACCAAUUAAUUCUUGAACUAUUCACAAUUGAUCUUCUAUAAUUUGGGUAGAAAAAAGUAGAGAUGUUUGUAUUUUGAAAUUACUAAUAUUAUUAUUCAAAACCAAAGCAAAAGAAAAGAAUUGUUUUACUUUGGGCUGCCUGGGUGGUUCAGCGGUAAAGGAUCUGCCACAGGAGAAAUGGGUUCAGUCACUGGGUUGGGAAGAUCCCCUGGAGGAGGGCAUGGCAACCCACUCCAGUAUUCUUGCCUGGGGAAUCCCCAUGGACAGAGGAGCCUGGCAGGCUACAGUCCAUAGGGUUGCAAAGAGUCGGACAUGACUGAAGCAAAUUACCACACACACACAACGUGGAAAUCUACACAUUUGUUUUUUUCACAAUUGCCACUCCAAUUUUCAAAACUAUAGAAGUUUCUGGAGAAGAAAUAGGCAGCAAUGUGAGACAAUAAACUAAGCAAUGUAGUACUGGCAGACUUUGCUUUUUCUCAUUAAAUAGGAUUAGAAAUAUAUUUCUUUACUAGUAUGUGCUAAUGACAAUGGAGAAGGCGAUGGCACCCUACUCCAGUACUCUUGCCCGGCAAAUCCUGUGGACGGAGGAGCCUGGUAGGCUGCAGUCCAUGGGGUUGCUAGGAGUCGGACACGACUGAGCGACUUCACUUUCACUUUUCACUGUCAUGCAUUGGAGAAGGAAAUGGCAAUCCACUCCAGUGUUCUUGCCUGGAGAAUCCCAGGGACGGGGGAGCCUGGUGGGCUGUCGUCUAUGGGGUCGCACAGAGUCGGACACGACUGAAGCAACUUAGCAGCAGCAGCAGCUAAUGACAAUACUCUAAUUUGAGAUAAGACAAUUACAAUGUUGUGAAAAUGGGAGCCUACAGCUACAAGUCUUUCUGUAUACGUAGCUAAAAAGUAGCAUUCAAAAGUAGUUUCAAAGUAAAAUUACAAAGGUCUAGAAACAUGAUGCAAUAUGCAAGGGCUUCCCAGGUGGCUCAGUGAUAAAAAAUACAUUUGUCAAGCAGGAGUGCGUGCAUGCAUGCUUAUUCACUUCAGUGGUGUCUGACUUUGCGACACUAUGGACUGUAGCCUACCAGGUUCUCUCUGUCCAUGGGAUUCUCCAGGCAAGAAUACUGGAGUGGAUUGCCAUGCCCUUGGCCAGGGGAUCUUUCUGGCCCAGGAAUCCAAGCAGCGUUUCCUGCAUUGCAUGCAGAUUCUUUACCACUGGGGAAACCUGCCAACCAGGAGAUGUAUGUUCAAUUCCUGGGUAGGGAAUAUACCCUGGAGGAGGAAAUGGCAACUCACUCCAGUAUUCUUGCCUGGAAAAUCCUAUAGACAAAGGAGCCUGGCAGGCUACAGUCCACGAGGUGGCAAAGAGUCUGACACAGCUUAGCAACUGAGCACAGACCUACACAAUAUGCAAAGAAGAUUUUAGACAUAAUCUGGAGUAAUAAAGAUUAUUUAUGCAUAUGCAUAUAAAAUUAUGCAUAAUGAAACAGCAGGAGAAAAGUAGUUUCCUAAAAUGUAUCAGCUUCA
This 4540-nucleotide long non-coding RNA is filed under the name Bos grunniens (domestic yak). RNAcentral describes it as "lncRNA (ENSBGRG00000022988.1)". Lineage: Eukaryota; Metazoa; Chordata; Mammalia; Artiodactyla; Bovidae. The record is from RNAcentral.